Molecule: long non-coding RNA, 174 nt
Organism: Oxyura jamaicensis (ruddy duck)
Lineage: Eukaryota; Metazoa; Chordata; Aves; Anseriformes; Anatidae
Exons: 3
Source: RefSeq, a predicted model, not a curated record
AACAACACGAGGGGAAACGCGAUUCCUUUGAGAGAUUUAGGUACUGAGUGAAACCAAGUCCAUUAAGGACAGGGUAAAGCAUGGGCCCUAAUGGAAGAAAUGGUUGGGAGACAUUGGUAAUGGUGGAGAUGGAGAGCCUGGGGAAGGGGAGAGGCACGCAGCUCCUCUGGGAAC